CUCUGAGACAGGUGCUGCAUGGCUGUCGUCAGCUCGUGUUGUGAAAUGUUGGGUUAAGUCCCGCAACGAGCGCAACCCUUAUCCUUUGUUGCCAGCGGUCCGGCCGGGAACUCAAAGGAGACUGCCAGUGAUAAACUGGAGGAAGGUGGGGAUGACGUCAAGUCAUCAUGGCCCUUACGAGUAGGGCUACACACGUGCUA
RNAcentral lists this ribosomal RNA (200 nucleotides) under Enterobacter hormaechei. Its description in RNAcentral is "partial 16S ribosomal RNA". It matches the Rfam family "Bacterial small subunit ribosomal RNA", at positions 1027 to 1227 of the family's 1533-position model. RNAcentral also lists the same sequence under 1 other name. The record is from RNAcentral. Lineage: Bacteria; Pseudomonadati; Pseudomonadota; Gammaproteobacteria; Enterobacterales; Enterobacteriaceae.